AGUAUUUUACAGGCCAGCCAAGGAAGUAACUGAAUGUACUUGCUUGGAGAAAGAAUAGAAGGCUCAGAGAAGAUGUCCAAGUCUGGUGCACCCCUGCCGCACCAGGCAUAUUAUUCUAGGCUGCUGUGAAAAUGUGGCUGCCAGGGAACGUGAAGGCUCUGGACAAAAUCUGGAUGAUUUUUCUCUUUGGUUUGUGG
Long non-coding RNA from Melospiza georgiana, 197 nucleotides. RefSeq lists it as uncharacterized. The record is from RefSeq and is a predicted model, not a curated record. NCBI's taxonomy places the organism in Eukaryota, Metazoa, Chordata, Aves, Passeriformes, Passerellidae. The transcript is spliced from 3 exons.